UUGCAUGAAUCAAAUAGAUGACUAUAUAGAUUAUAUUGUAUUGUAUUGGAUGUUAUUGAGGUCGCUUCAGUAGAUCUUUAUGCCCAUCACUGCAUGAUGAGACUUCCAGAGAUUUGGUGGAAUGCGAGAGAGAAGAAAUAAAGAAGAAAGAGGGGAUGAAAGAGAGUGUGACCUGACAGUAAGGAGGAGUGAAAGAGAAGUAGAGAGGAGAACGAAGGAGAGGAGAGAUGGAGGAGAGAAAAUAGGGGGGAAAGGAAAGGAGCACAGAGGAGAAGAGAAGAGAAAGCAAAUGACGUGGGGGUUUAGUCCAAUGCUCCUUAAUUAGUUUUACCCUGGCAGUCCAUGUGUUGUGCCAACGAGUUUGUUGCUUGGUCAAGAGGUGGCUGUAUAGAAAUAAAGACUGACUGCAUCCCAAAUGACACCCUAAUUCCUAUGUAGUGCACUACUUUUGUCUAGAGCCCUAUGGGUCCAUGUCAAAGGUACUGCACUAUAUAGGGAAUAGGGUGCCAUUGGGACACAGCCAGCGUGUUGGAGCCAGCAGCCCAAUGACGUCGGCACAGAGAGAGACUGGCAGUCCUCUGUUAGGGAAGGAACUCUCCAUUUCCGGUAGGGUGUCUGGUAAGCGGAAGGAGGCUGAUGUGUAGAACAAAUGAGACUUUUUAAAAAGAGAAUGGUGUUGCUAAGAGAGGAAAGAGAUGAGUCAGAUAGGAAUCAGGGAGGGGGAGGAGUGAGAGGUAUGGGGAGAGCGAGGAAGGGGGAGACAGCGAAAAAGAGAGAGAAAAGGAGAGCGAUACAAUUGAAAAUGGAGAAAGGAAGAGAGGUAAAGUAAAGGAUAACUGAGGAUGAUCGAGGAAGUAGACCUAACCUGUAAAGAAUGUGACAAUUUUUUUUUAGAAAUUGUUGAACUGACAUGGAAUUCUCAAUUGACCCAAAAUUUAUACUGUGAGUUGAAUUGGAAAAAUAAUAAUAAUAUUGUGUGUGUAUUGAAGUUUGCCUUUGCAAUACAAAUAGUUGUAUUUAUCUUUUAUUUAUUAAGCAGGGAGUAAUGUGAAGUUGAUCACCCAAGACCCAGCAAUUUUGGAACAUGUGGAAACCUGCUCCACCUAUUGAAAUGCACCUUUUGUUAGAGCUUUCUGUGAGGAAAACCAGUGGCGCAUUCAUGAAGCGCAAGGGAAAUUCCUGCUAUACAAAAGAGGACGGAGGUCCGCCCAGAACAGACCCUUACUGUGAGCUGCCCAGGAGGAGACACAUCAUCCACAAAACAAUGGAGGAAUGGCAACUGAUUUCAGACCUGAGCCCUAGGACCUUGCCUCAGGACUACCUGGCAUGAUGACUCCUUGCUGUCCCCAGUUUGAACUGUUCUGCCUGCAGCUAUGGAACCCUGACCUGUUCACUGGACGUACUACCUGUCCCAGACCUGCUGUUUUCAACUCUCUAGAGACCGCAGGAGUGGUAGAGAUACUCUCAAUGAUCGGCUAUGAAAAGCCAACUGACAUUUACUCCUGAGGUGCUGACUUGUUGCACCCUCGACAACUACUGUGAUUAUUAUUAUUUGACCAUGCUGGUCAUUUAUGAACAUUUGAACAUCUUGGCCAUGUUCUGUUAUAAUUUCCACCCGGUACAGCCAGCAGAGGACUGGCCACCCCUCAUAGCCUGGUUCCUCUCUAGGUUUCUUCCUAGGUUUUGGCCUUUCUAGGGAGUUUUUCCUAGCCGUGCUUCUACACCUGCAUUGCUUGCUGUUUGGGGUUUUAGGCUGGGUUUCUGUACAGCACUUUGAGAUAUCAGCUGAUGUAAGAAGGGCUAUAUAAAUACAUUUAAUUUGAUUUGGUGGGAAAAGUACUCAAUUGUCAUACUUGAGUAAAAGUAAAGAUACCUUAAUAGAAAAUGACUCAAGUAAAAGUGAAUGUCACCCAGUAAAAUCUAUAUCUAUCUCAUCUAUAUAACUAAUAAAGUAACCCAUAGCAUUGCAAACUUACAUAUUACAUCACAAGACAUAGAGGAUCAUCAUGAUCCCAGUGGAACACCAUUUUUGAUGUUAAAGAGAUAAUUGGAUUCUGUCCAGAAAAAUUGUAAUGCACAGAGUCCAGAGACAAAUACAAUCAAUAAUUGAAGGGCUAAAUAGAGAAGUGAAACUCCAGGUUCCUCGCUGGUCUUUGAACCAAGGAAGCGCUAACUUUGACCAACAUGAUAAAGAGGUUCUCUAUACCAUGAUCACAGUGCUCUGCUGGAAGGACAAGCAGUCAACACCACUGUCUGUCAUCUUUUAAUGAUUGCAAGUGACACUAAUGACUGUUUUAUGGUUAAUACAGUUAGCUUAUAACUCAAAUUGAUUUGAACUUUUAUAACUUUCUUCUUGGCAGUCUAAUGUGCUAUGCAAUUCCUUUGUUUAGAAGAUGUCUUGUCCCAAAAGUAUUUAUGCUCACAUUGACGUCUGUCUAGGCUUUAAGUGUUCUUCUACGAUUAUUUUGUUAUUUACUACGGUAAAGCUUCUUCCAUGUAGCUCAUUUAGCUCUGAUUCAAGGGUCCUCGUUUAUAAAAUAUUUGUAUGUACAAAUGUGAUUGUAAAUUGUGCAUAUAACGAAAUCCAUGACAACAGUGUGAUUUAUAAAUCUUAAACUUGCAAUUUCAUUUGAUCUUAAAGCAUAUCAGAGUCGUCAUGCCCCAUUUUAAAACAGGGCAGAUGUUAAAUGAAUGACUAAACUUCAUUUUUAAGCCCACAUUUUAUCAUAUUUAUUUAUAAAAACAUAUGCCAGUGGUAUUUUGCAGAGGGGGCACACUGACUGGACCGGGCAAAGAGUACUGGGCCUCACUCCCGCGGGUGCACAAUUUGUUUCUUGCUCUAGCACUACACAGCUGAUUCAAACAAUCAAAGCUAGAUGAUGAGUUGGUUAUUUGAAUCAGCUGUGUAGUGCUAGGCCCAAAACUAAAAUGUGCCUCCAGGAGGGGGACAAAGGACUGAAUUUGUGAUACCCUGCUCUAGUGCAUGCAAUCAGUGUCGUUUGUGAAGGAAGAAAGAGAGUGUACAGCACGUGUCAAACUAAUUCAAUGGAGGGGCCCGAGUGUCUGCGGGUUUUCACUCCUCCCUGGUUGUCAAGGUGUUAAUUGAAAAGGAAACCAAAAACCUGCAGACAUUAGGCCCUCCAUGGAAUGAGUUUGACACCCCUGAUGUAGAGUGACACAUAAUGUUCAGUUAGAUAUUAACUGCCGGUGAUGGGCAGGACUCGCCGGAGGUAUGUUUGUCAAUUAAUUUGAUCAAGCUAUUAUUUCUUCUUGAUGAAUAAAUAGCACAAAAAUA
This is a long non-coding RNA of Oncorhynchus nerka (sockeye salmon), 3295 nucleotides long. RefSeq lists it as uncharacterized. The record is from RefSeq and is a predicted model, not a curated record. NCBI's taxonomy places the organism in Eukaryota, Metazoa, Chordata, Actinopteri, Salmoniformes, Salmonidae. The transcript is spliced from 3 exons.